This 119-nucleotide small nucleolar RNA is filed under the name Pichia membranifaciens NRRL Y-2026. Lineage: Eukaryota; Fungi; Ascomycota; Pichiomycetes; Pichiales; Pichiaceae. The record is from RNAcentral.
AAGAUUCUCUUCAUAUGAUGACUUGAGUGCAUUUGGCUCGAGACGCUGGUGUGACGUCCUGUCUAAUCCUCAUGCGUUGAUGUGGAAAAAAACACGCUACCUUUAAACUUUUUCUGACU